Passer domesticus (house sparrow) is the source of this 953-nucleotide long non-coding RNA. RefSeq lists it as uncharacterized. The record is from RefSeq and is a predicted model, not a curated record. Lineage: Eukaryota; Metazoa; Chordata; Aves; Passeriformes; Passeridae. The transcript has 3 exons.
CUGCAGUGGUUCCUGUCCCUUGCUGAGAUGCACUGGGGGUCCCUGCAGUGGUUCCUGUCCCUUGCUGAGAUGCACAGGGAGGCUGGAGCACUGAUCAAAAGGGUCCAGAAUGAGCUUCUUCAGGGAGUCAAACAGGGAGCUCCAGUGUCCCAGGAGUCCUGACACCCCAGAACUGACAGUGGAAAGCAUGUGUCACAGGAGACUUUGGGAAGUUGCAUCACACUUUGCCACAUCUGUGGCUCUACUGCAGCAGGCAGAGGCUGCCAGCCAGGUCAGAGCUGUGAUUUUGAAGUGAGAUAAACUCUCCCUGUCAGGCACCAAGCAGCAUCCCAGCAGAUGAAGCUGUCAGGGUUGUGUGACCUUUUCAUCUGCCAGAAGAUGCAGCUGGGAGCCAAGUAGUAGCUCUUCAUUUUCUCCAUUUAAUAUUAAAAAUUCUGUCUGGGAAGUACAGAAGGCCUUUUUCCACGUCUGCCCAGCGGGUUCUGGGCUCUGUGGUGCCAACAGCAGCCUAACAAGAUGAAACAAAUACUUCCAUUUAUUUGUCUCCCAAAGGACUGGGAAAACAAUAGCACAGGGAUCUGGAGAGAGAUAUUAAAAACAAAAGAUAAAUUGUAUUACAGCCAAAACCUUGAUUAGUUCCAGGCGGGAAAGUGAGAGGGAUUUCACUGCACUGCAUUUGGAGUGACCUUGGUGUGUAUUUUAAUAUUUAUACCCUCAUCUAAUUAGUAUUACUCACUAAUAUCUAACUCCUCAAAUAGAGGAUAUACAUGGGCAGCCCAUUUUUGCAGGAUCAGAACCAGCUCAUGUAUUCCAAAGCAUCUGGGUGCCUAUGGAAGUGGCCACAUAGCCUCAGUCUGGCAAAAAACAAUAAUGGUAACACCCCCAAAAAAAUGUAAAAUAUCAGGAAAAUCUGGUGGACCUGAAACCUCCUCCAGGACGUCAAAUCUGGAAAC